CUUGUGCCUAAAGUCUGCUUUUUCCGUAGGUGGAACCUGCGGAAGGAUCAUUA
This 53-nucleotide ribosomal RNA is filed under the name Phaeophyscia hirtella. Its description in RNAcentral is "partial 18S ribosomal RNA". The record is from RNAcentral. Lineage: Eukaryota; Fungi; Ascomycota; Lecanoromycetes; Caliciales; Physciaceae.